This 497-nucleotide ribosomal RNA is filed under the name uncultured bacterium. RNAcentral's name for it is "partial 16S ribosomal RNA". It matches the Rfam family "Bacterial small subunit ribosomal RNA", at positions 28 to 507 of the family's 1533-position model. The record is from RNAcentral.
GAUGAACGCUGGCGGCGUGCCUAAUACAUGCAAGUCGAGCGAACAGACGAGGAGCUUGCUCCUCUGACGUUAGCGGCGGACGGGUGAGUAACACGUGGAUAACCUACCUAUAAGACUGGGAUAACUUCGGGAAACCGGAGCUAAUACCGGAUAAUAUAUUGAACCGCAUGGUUCAAUAGUGAAAGACGGUUUUGCUGUCACUUAUAGAUGGAUCCGCGCCGCAUUAGCUAGUUGGUAAGGUAACGGCUUACCAAGGCAACGAUGCGUAGCCGACCUGAGAGGGUGAUCGGCCACACUGGAACUGAGCCACGGUCCAGACUCCUACGAGAGGCAGCAGUAGGGAAUCUUACGCAAUGGGCGAAAGCCUGACGGAGCAACGCCGCGUGAGUGAUGAAGGUCUUCGGAUCGUAAAACUCUGUUAUUAGGGAAGAACAAAUGUGUAAGUAACUAUGCACGUCUUGACGGUACCUAAUCAGAAAGCCACGGCUAACUACGUG